UUGAGACUUCGGUGGAUUUGAUCUAUUUCUAGUGGCGGACGGGUGAGUAACGCGUGGGUAACCUGCCUUAUACAGGGGGAUAACAGUCAGAAAUGGCUGCUAAUACCGCAUAAGCGCACAGAGCUGCAUGGCUCAGUGUGAAAAACUCCGGUGGUAUAAGAUGGACCCGCGUUGGAUUAGCUAGUUGGCAGGGCAGCGGCCUACCAAGGCGACGAUCCAUAGCCGGCCUGAGAGGGUGAACGGCCACAUUGGGACUGAGACACGGCCCAGACUCCUACGGGAGGCAGCAGUGGGGAAUAUUGCACAAUGGGGGAAACCCUGAUGCAGCGACGCCGCGUGAAGGAAGAAGUAUCUCGGUAUGUAAACUUCUAUCAGCAGGGAAGAUAAUGACGGUACCUGACUAAGAAGCCCCGGCUAACUACGUGCCAGCAGCCGCGGUAAUACGUAGGGGGCAAGCGUUAUCCGGAUUUACUGGGUGUAAAGGGAGCGUAGACGGCGCAGCAAGUCUGAUGUGAAAGGCAGGGGCUUAACCCCUGGACUGCAUUGGAAACUGCUGUGCUUGAGUGCCGGAGGGGUAAGCGGAAUUCCUAGUGUAGCGGU
RNAcentral lists this ribosomal RNA (600 nucleotides) under uncultured Lachnospiraceae bacterium. RNAcentral describes it as "bacterial SSU rRNA". It matches the Rfam family "Bacterial small subunit ribosomal RNA", at positions 67 to 682 of the family's 1533-position model. The record is from RNAcentral. Lineage: Bacteria; Bacillati; Bacillota; Clostridia; Lachnospirales; Lachnospiraceae.